RNAcentral lists this ribosomal RNA (495 nucleotides) under uncultured bacterium. Its description in RNAcentral is "partial 16S ribosomal RNA". It matches the Rfam family "Bacterial small subunit ribosomal RNA", at positions 28 to 507 of the family's 1533-position model. The record is from RNAcentral.
GACGAACGCUGGCGGCGUGCCUAAUACAUGCAAGUAGAACGCUGAAGGAGGAGCUUGCUUCUCCGGAUGAGUUGCGAACGGGUGAGUAACGCGUAGGUAACCUGCCUGGUAGCGGGGGAUAACUAUUGGAAACGAUAGCUAAUACCGCAUAAGAGUAGAUGUUGCAUGACAUUUGCUUAAAAGGUGCAAUUGCAUCACUACCAGAUGGACCUGCGUUGUAUUAGCUAGUUGGUGAGGUAACGGCUCACCAAGGCGACGAUACAUAGCCGACCUGAGAGGGUGAUCGGCCACACUGGGACUGAGACACGGCCCAGACUCCUACGGGGGGCAGCAGUAGGGAAUCUUCGGCAAUGGACGGAAGGCUGACCGAGCAACGCCGCGUGAGUGAAGAAGGUUUUCGGAUCGUAAAGCUCUGUUGUAAGAGAAGAACGAGUGUGAGAGUGGAAAGUUCACACUGUGACGGUAUCUUACCAGAAAGGGACGGCUAACUACGUG